Molecule: small nuclear RNA, 319 nt
Filed under: Erinaceus europaeus (western European hedgehog)
Lineage: Eukaryota; Metazoa; Chordata; Mammalia; Eulipotyphla; Erinaceidae
Description: 7SK RNA
Rfam family: 7SK RNA
About the family: 7SK was discovered as an abundant small nuclear RNA in the mid-70s but a possible function has only recently been suggested.
Source: Rfam by way of RNAcentral
GGAUGUGAGGGCGAUCUGGCUGUGACAUCUGUCACCCCAUUGAUUGCCAGGGUUUAUUCUACUGAUCUGGCUGGCUAGGCAGGUGUCCCCUUCUCCCUCACCGCUCCAUGUGCGUCCCUCCCGAAGUUGCAUGCUCAGUGGAAGAGGACGGCUUUCCCGGAAUAGAGACAGACCUGUCUUUGGUCGAGGGUAUCCGAGUAGCUGCAUUCCACUGCUAGAACCUCCAAAAAAGCUCUCAAAAAAUAAAACCAGAAAAAAAGAUAAAUAACAGAACGGUUACUUAUUACAUAUAUGAGGUAGAUUUUUAUCUUUUGUGUAU